Molecule: ribosomal RNA, 432 nt
Filed under: uncultured bacterium
Lineage: Bacteria
Description: partial 16S ribosomal RNA
Rfam family: Bacterial small subunit ribosomal RNA
Source: RNAcentral
AACGAACGCUGGCGGCAUGCCUAACACAUGCAAGUCGAACGAGACCUUCGGGUCUAGUGGCGCACGGGUGCGUAACGCGUGGGAACCUGCCCUUAGGUUCGGAAUAACUCCCCGAAAGGGGUGCUAAUACCGGAUAAUGUCUUCGGACCAAAGAUUUAUCGCCUUUGGAUGGGCCCGCGUUGGAUUAGCUAGUUGGUAGGGUAAAAGCCUACCAAGGCGACGAUCCAUAGCUGGUCUGAGAGGAUGAUCAGCCACACUGGGACUGAGACACGGCCCAGACCCCUACGGGGGGCAGCAGGGGGGAAUAUUGGAAAAUGGGCAAAAGCCUGACCCAGCAAGGCCGGGUGGGUGAUGAAGGCCUUAGGGUUGUAAAGCUCUUUUACCCGGGAUGAUAAUGACGGUACCGGGAAAAAAAGCCCCGGCUAACUCCGU